UGGGGAAUAUUGCGCAAUGAGCGAAAGCUUGACGCAGCGACACCGCGUGCGGGAUGAAGGCCCUCGGGUUGUAAACCGCUUUCGGCAGGGACGAAGCGAAAGUGACGGUACCUGCAGAAGAAGGUCCGGCUAACUACGUGCCAGCAGCCGCGGUAAGACGUAGGGACCGAGCGUUGUCCGGAUUUAUUGGGCGUAAAGCGCGCGCAGGCGGCCGUGCAAGUCGGAUGUGAAAACCAGAGGCUCAACCUCUGGCCUGCAUUCGAAACUGCACGGCUAGAGGCAGGUAGGGGAGAGGGGAAUUCCCGGUGUAGCGGUGAAAUGCGCAGAUAUCGGGAGGAACACCGGUGGCGAAGGCGCCUCUCUGGGCCUGUCCUGACGCUCAGGCGCGAAAGCUAGGGGAGCGAACAGGAUUAGAUACCCCCGUAGUCC
This 429-nucleotide ribosomal RNA is filed under the name uncultured bacterium. RNAcentral describes it as "bacterial SSU rRNA". It matches the Rfam family "Bacterial small subunit ribosomal RNA", at positions 355 to 796 of the family's 1533-position model. The record is from RNAcentral.